This is a long non-coding RNA of Callithrix jacchus (white-tufted-ear marmoset), 1751 nucleotides long. NCBI's taxonomy places the organism in Eukaryota, Metazoa, Chordata, Mammalia, Primates, Cebidae. The record is from Ensembl.
GUUCCAAGAAGAUGAAAUCAAUUUUCGUUUGAAUUGAUUCUUCCCAUCCAUGUUCAAGAUUUCUUUCCAGAUUUGAAAAGCCUGCUGUAAUCGCUCAGUUUCCUAGAAGUAGACUCUGAGAAGAAGAGUGGCAGGCAGGCAAUUUAUGGGGAUGUGCUCUUGGGAUCUACACCAGUGAGUGGAGUGAGAGAAGCAAGAUCGAGCAGGAGGAGUUGCUGGGCAGGAAUACAGAUCCAACAGACGCCUCAGCUGCUUCCUACGGAGAGCUCUAGAGUGGGUACUACCUUCAGAGUUCCUGAAUUGAGAUGAUGUGCCUGCUUGCACUGGAAUUUCUUCUAUAAGUAAAAGCUUCCUGAGGCCUUCCCAGAACCUGAGCAGAUGUUGUACAGCCUGCAGAACUAAUGGCUGUGAGAGAAAAUUCAGAAGUAUCCUUGGAAGCAUUUUGCUAAUUUUGAGAUGCUGGGUACAUCCUCAAAAUGAAAAACUUUUGUGCCUCAAAGAACACCAUCAAGAAAUCAAGAAAUUGAAAAGAAAACCCAGGGAGACAAUAUUUACAAAUCUUAUAUCUGAUACAAUAUGGAACAUAUAUAUAUAAUAUAAAGAAUUCUUAUAACUUAAAAAUCAAAGUAAAAAUAACCAAUUUUAAAAUAUCUGAAUAAUGUUUCUUUAAAGAAGAUAUAUAAAUGGCCAAUAAGCUCAUAGAAACAUGAUUGAUAUCAUGAAUCCUCAGGGAAAGCCAAAUCCAAACCACAAUGAAAUACCACUUUAUACCCACUAAGAUGGCUACAAUCAAAAGCCAGGUAAUAACAAGCAUUGGCAAGGAUGUGGAGCAACCAGAACCUUCAUACAAUGGUGAUGGGGAUGUAUAAUUGUGCAGUCACUUUUAAAACCCAGUCUUCAUCAUUGAUAUUGUUUGGCUGUGUCCCCACCCAAAUCUCAUCUUGAAUUGUACUCCCAUAAUUCCCACGUAUUGUAGGAGGGACCCAAUGGAUAUAAUUUGAAUCAUGGUGGUGGAUUCCCCCAUACUGUUCUUACAGUAAUGAAUAAGUCUCAUGAGAUCUGAUAAUUUUGUCAGGGGUUUCUGCUUUUGCAUCUUCCUCAUUUUUUUUUGCCACCACCAUGUAAAAUGUGCCUUUCACCUCCUGCCAUAAUUCUGAGGCCUCCCCAUCCAUGUGGAACUGUAAGUUCAAGUAAACCUCUUUUUCUUCCCAGUCUCGGGUAUGUCUUUAUCAGCAGCAUGAAAUGGAGUAAUACAGAAAAUUGGUACUAGUAGAAUGAGGCAUUGCUGAAAAGACACCUGAAAAUGUGGAAGCAACUUUAGAACUGGGUAACGAGCAGAGGUUGGAACAGUUUGGAGGGCUCAGAAGAAAACAGAAAAAUGUGGGAACAUUUGGAACCUCCUCGAGACUUGUUGAAGAUAUGGACAAUAAAUCCAGGCUGAGGUGGUCUCAGAUGGAGAUGAGGAACUUGUUGGGAACUGGGGCAAAGCUGACUCUUGUUAUGUUUUAGCAAAAAGAGUGGCAGCAUUUUGUUCCUGCCCUAGAGAUCUGUGGAACUUUAAACUUGAGAGAGAUGAUUUAGGGUAUCUGGCAGAAGAAAUUUCUAAGCAGCAAAGCCUUCAAGAAGUGACUUGGGUGCUGUUAAAAACAUUCAGUUUUAGUAUCCUAGCAGGGCAAUAGAAAAGUAAAACCCCUUUUUCUGAGGAGAUAGUCAAGCUGCCUGCAGAUAUUUGUCUAAGUAACAAGGAGCUG